AUACUUACCUGGCAGGGGGAGAUACCAUGAUCACGAAGGUGGUUUUCCCAGGGCGAGGCUUAUCCAUUGCACUCCGAAUGUGCUGACCCCUGCGAUUUCCCCAAAUGUGGGAAACUCGACUGCGUAAUUUGUGGUAGUGGGGGACUGCGUUCACACUCCCCCCCC
RNAcentral lists this small nuclear RNA (165 nucleotides) under Echinops telfairi (small Madagascar hedgehog). RNAcentral's name for it is "U1 spliceosomal RNA (ENSETEG00000021767.1)". It matches the Rfam family "U1 spliceosomal RNA". Rfam says of the family: U1 is a small nuclear RNA (snRNA) component of the spliceosome (involved in pre-mRNA splicing). Its 5' end forms complementary base pairs with the 5' splice junction, thus defining the 5' donor site of an intron. The record is from RNAcentral. Lineage: Eukaryota; Metazoa; Chordata; Mammalia; Afrosoricida; Tenrecidae.